UACGGAGGGUGCAAGCGUUAAUCGGAAUUACUGGGCGUAAAGCGCACGCAGGCGGUUUGUUAAGUCAGAUGUGAAAUCCCCGAGCUUAACUUGGGAACUGCAUUUGAAACUGGCAAGCUAGAGUCUUGUAGAGGGGGGUAGAAUUCCCGGUGUAGUGGUGGAAUGCGUAGAUAUCGGGAGGAACAUCAGUGGCGAAAGCGACACCCUGGCAUUAGCCUGACGCUCAUGUGCGAAAGCGUGGGGAGCGAACGGG
This 253-nucleotide ribosomal RNA is filed under the name uncultured bacterium. RNAcentral's name for it is "partial 16S ribosomal RNA". It matches the Rfam family "Bacterial small subunit ribosomal RNA", at positions 524 to 776 of the family's 1533-position model. The record is from RNAcentral.